CCAGCCACCCGAGGCCCUCGGGUCCCGGAGGACUAAGAAGCGGCGUCACGCACCGGGGAGGGGCCAGAGCUGCCCGAGGGGCGGAGGCGUCGGGUUGACCCCUGCCCCCAUGCUGUGUGAUCCCGCGUCAGCCAUCAACCUCUCUGGGCCUCAGCUGCCUCCUCUGUACGAUGAGAAGGGCCGCCCGAUGGCCUCCGCAGCCCCUUCCAGGCCCGCCUCGAUGACCCCUAGAUGGCAGGAGCCGGGCCCGGGGCGGGUCUGGAGCUGGAGUUGCAGCUGGUGCAGAGUCAGUGUGUCUAGAGGGACCCUCCUCCGCCUCGGGGACAAGGUCUGGCUGGUCGGAACUCCGGCCUCGCCUCAGCGGGGAGAGCCUCGGGCCCGGAGGGCGUGAACUGCUGCGGUCACUUUCCCCUGGGGCCCCCCCUAUUUCCCCAGAAGAGAUUUGAGAAUAUACCUCUCCCUACUUCUUUGCAGAACUGGAUGGGAUAAGAACCCCAGGUAUGAAAUAUAUUGACUAUAUUGUCAGAUUUUAUGAUGCAGUGAUUGAUUAUGCUUAUUUUUUUCCUCUUCCUCUUUUUCUUUUUUAGAAAAAUUCUUUAUUAUAAGGGAUGACUCUCUGGGACAGAAAGGUACAGUGAUAUGAGGAAAAUUUAAGUGAUAUAAAAGCAAAAGAUAAAAUUAAUUUUUAAAAGUAUAUGUUGGAUAGGAUUUAUCACU
Long non-coding RNA from Gracilinanus agilis (Agile Gracile Mouse Opossum), 717 nucleotides. RefSeq lists it as uncharacterized. The transcript has 3 exons. Lineage: Eukaryota; Metazoa; Chordata; Mammalia; Didelphimorphia; Didelphidae. The record is from RefSeq and is a predicted model, not a curated record.